GCUUACGGCCAUACCACCCUGAGCACGCCCGAUCUCGUCUGAUCUCGGAAGCUAAGCAGGGUCGGGCCUGGUUAGUACUUGGAUGGGAGCCCGCCUGGGAAUACCAGGUGCUGUAAGCU
This 119-nucleotide ribosomal RNA is filed under the name Betta splendens (Siamese fighting fish). The record is from RNAcentral. Lineage: Eukaryota; Metazoa; Chordata; Actinopteri; Anabantiformes; Osphronemidae.